CCUACGGGAGGCAGCAGUGAGGAAUAUUGGUCAAUGGACGAGAGUCUGAACCAGCCAAGUAGCGUGAAGGAUGACUGCCCUAUGGGUUGUAAACUUCUUUUAUAUGGGAAUAAACUGUUCCACGUGUGGGAUUUUGUAUGUACCAUAUGAAUAAGGAUCGGCUAACUCCGUGCCAGCAGCCGCGGUAAUACGGAGGAUCCGAGCGUUAUCCGGAUUUAUUGGGUUUAAAGGGAGCGUAAGUGGAUUGUUAAGUCAGUUGUGAAAGUUUGCGGCUCAACCGUAAAAUUGCAGUUGAAACUGGCAGUCUUGAGUACAGUAGAGGUGGGCGGAAUUCGUGGUGUAGCGGUGAAAUGCUUAGAUAUCACGAAGAACUCCGAUUGCGAAGGCAGUUCACUGGACUGCAACUGACACUGAGGCUCGAAAGUGUGGGUAUCAAACAGGAUUAGAUACCCGAGUAGUC
Molecule: ribosomal RNA, 460 nt
Filed under: uncultured bacterium
Lineage: Bacteria
Description: partial 16S ribosomal RNA
Rfam family: Bacterial small subunit ribosomal RNA
Source: RNAcentral